This 467-nucleotide ribosomal RNA is filed under the name uncultured bacterium. Its description in RNAcentral is "partial 16S ribosomal RNA". It matches the Rfam family "Bacterial small subunit ribosomal RNA", at positions 28 to 507 of the family's 1533-position model. The record is from RNAcentral.
GACGAACGCUGGCGGCGUGCUUAACACAUGCAAGUCGAACGGAAAGGCCUCUUUCGGGGGGUACUCGAGUGGCGAACGGGUGAGUAACACGUGAGUAACCUGCCCUUGACUUUGGGAUAACUUCAGGAAACUGGGGCUAAUACCGGAUAGGAGCUCCUGCUGCAUGGUGGGGGUUGGAAAGUUUCGGCGGUUGGGGAUGGACUCGCGGCUUAUCAGCUUGUUGGUGGGGUAGUGGCUUACCAAGGCUUUGACGGGUAGCCGGCCUGAGAGGGUGACCGGCGACAUUGGGACUGAGAUACGGCCCAGACUCCUACGGGAGGCAGCAGUGGGGAAUAUUGCACAAUGGGUGGAAGCCUGAUGCAGCAACGCCGUGUGCGGGAUGACGGCCUUCGGGUUGUAAACCGCUUUCGCUCAUGACGAAGCUUUGUGUGACGGUAGUGGGUAAAGAAGCACCGGCUAACUACGUG